RNAcentral lists this small nuclear RNA (196 nucleotides) under Salix viminalis (osier). It matches the Rfam family "U2 spliceosomal RNA". From Rfam's summary of the family: U2 is a small nuclear RNA (snRNA) component of the spliceosome (involved in pre-mRNA splicing). Complementary binding between U2 snRNA (in an area lying towards the 5' end but 3' to hairpin I) and the branchpoint sequence (BPS) of the intron results the bulging out of an unpaired adenosine, on the BPS, which initiates a nucleophilic attack at the intronic 5' splice site, thus starting the first of two transesterification reactions that mediate splicing. Lineage: Eukaryota; Viridiplantae; Streptophyta; Magnoliopsida; Malpighiales; Salicaceae. The record is from RNAcentral.
AUACCUUUCUCGGACUUUUGGCUAAGAUCAAGUGUAGUAUCUGUUCUUAUCAGUUUAAUAUCUGAUACGUGGGCCAUAGGUCCACACGAUAUUAAAUUACUUUUUUAAAGGGGAAGGUUCACCGCAGUGGCUUGCUACUGGAACCUUCAAGCGUCGCCAAUGUGUUACACUACUGCAAUGGUCUGGCGUGCCCUCC